Non-coding RNA from Podarcis lilfordi (Lilford's wall lizard), 78 nucleotides. The record is from the annotation of a GenBank genome assembly. NCBI's taxonomy places the organism in Eukaryota, Metazoa, Chordata, Lepidosauria, Squamata, Lacertidae.
UACAUGGAUAGCUCAGUUGGGUUAAAGAAUGGUGCUGAUGACACCAUGGUUGUAGGUUCAACCCCUGUAUUCCUGUAG